AUGGACUCGUGCGAGUCUUUUGCUUGGACUUGCGAGUCUUUUGACUGGACUCGUGUGACCCAAAAAACAUGCCCAACAAGCUAAUAAAGUGUUUUUUUUAACUUUUUUCAUUCAUUUGGGUUUGUUUCUUGGUCAAAACAGGUUUGUAGGGUUUGAAGGAGGAGAGGAAACAAGACUAAAUUAGCAAAAGAGAUCUAGGCAAGGAUUUUUCCUCUUUUUUUUUUCAUUUCCAUGUUUUGAAAAUCCAAAAAAUCUUGAAAAAUAAGGGGAUAUGUUGCCAAAACUUUCUCUAUUUCCCUUCCUAACUUAUUUCCUUAUAUUUUUUUCUUGUUUUUGAAUGCUCUUUUUUUCCAAAUGAUUCAUUAUCAUUUUUUUUGUUGGUUUUCCACAAAACCUUGCUGAUUUUUUUAUUUUUUCAUGUUAAAACGGCAAUGGCAAGUUCAACUCCAACUCCAAGGGCAACCCCAAAGCCAAGAAGACAAAACAACAAAGCAUGGAAGUACGGGAUUCCAGGAAACAAAAAGGGGGAGGUCACUUGCACCGAAUGUACGAAAUUGAUGACUGGUGGAAUCAAUAGAUUAAAUUACCACCUUGCACAAAUGCUUGGAUAUGGUGUGGACAUAUGCCCCAAAUCAACUCCAAAGAUUAUUAGAGAGAUGAAGGUCCUUCUUGCUGAGCAUGAUAUGCAAAAGGAAGAAAGGCAAAAAACAAAAGAAGCCAUAGCAACGCAAUGAAUCCCACAUUGUCCACUUCGAGUUCCAUUGGUCACACUCGUGGUCGUGGAAGCCCAAAUUUACGUCAGUCACUUUCAUCUUUUGGUGACAAUAGGGGUGAGGCUAGUGACACUCCUGUUAGAUCAAACCCUAUUUUUUUUGUACCACGCAAUGUUCCAGGUGCACAACCUUCACUUGAAGGUAUAGGAUGGAAUAGAGAGAAGCAUGAACAAGCAAGGAUAGCAGCAUCAAACUUUUGGUUUUACAAUAAUAUACCUUUCAAUACAACAAACAAUGUGUAUUGGGAAGGUUUGGUUAAUGCAUUAAUAGUUGCGGGUAAGGGGUUUAAGGCCCCAACAUGUCAUGACUUCAGUGGACCAUUGCUGGAGCAAGCUGUAAGAAAUACACAAGUUGUGGUUGAUGAUCAAAAAAGAUAUCGGAGGAGAAAAGGAUGCAACAUUUUAUCGGAUGGAUGGACAGAUGGACGGAAUAGGACUCUUCUCAACUUCUUGGUGGCUUCAAAUGGUUCAAUGGUAUUCCUAAAGUCUUUAGAUGCCUCAAAUGAAAUUAAAAAUGUAGACUUUGUGUAAUCUAUUGGAUGGGGUGAUUCAGGAAGUUGGAGUUGAGAAUGUUAUCUAAUCUAUUGGAUGGGGUGAUUCAAGAAGUUGGAGUUGAGAAUGUUGUCCAAAUUAUCACGGACAACGCAGUUGCAUAUGUAUCUGUAGGCAGAAUGCUUAUGGAGAGGCAUCCUACGAUUACAUGGAGUCCUUGUGUUGCACAUUGCUUGGACUUGUUUCUAGAAAACAUUGGGAAGAUUGGAUGGGUGAAAAAGGUGGUUGAAGAUGCAAUAAGUGUCACCAAAUUCAUCUACAACCAUACUUGGGUCUUUGCUUUGAUAAGAAAACACACAAAUGGCAAGGACCUUGUGCAACCUGGAGUGACAUGAUUUGCUAGCCACUUCAUCACUUUGCAGAGCAUUCUUGGUGCCAUUCCUCAUCUUAAGAAGAGGUUUGUGUCUGACGCUUGGUUGGGGUCUGCAUACUCCAAAAGACUUGAAGUAGAGAAGAUUGUCAGCAUUGUUUUUGAUGAAGGGCUCAACAAAAGUGCAGAGGAGUUGACUGCGGUAAGUAACAAACACAAACGUAAACUUUAUACAAGAUAAUCUAUGUGCUGAUUUUAUUUCUUAGGGGUUAAUUUUGAACUAAUUUAAAAUUUGUUUUCAUUUUUUUAGGUAACAAAACCUUUUGUAAGGGUUCUUCGUAUGGUGGAUGGAGAGGGCAUGCCAAUGGGUUUCAUUUAUGAGGCCAUGGAUAGGGCCAAAGAGGACAUUUCACAUUACUAUCGUGGAAAUACAAGAAAAUGUGAAAUCCUUUGACGCAUCAUUGAUCGUAGGUGGACAAACCAACUCCACCAACUGAUACAUUCCUUCACCUACUUCUUGAACCCAAAAUUCUUCUUUUCUGAUUCAUUUAGGGUUGAUGAGGAGGUCAUGGCAAGUGUUAUUGCAUGCAUUCAUAAGAUGGCACCUGAUUCUGAGUUGAGAGACAAGGUUCUUGAUGAGUUGGAGAUCUACAAGAGUGCAGAGGGGAGGCUCUUCUCUUCACAACUAGCAAUUGAUAGGAGAGGAAAACAAGAACCAGAUUUAUUGUGGGAGAAUUAUGGUGCUAGCAUGCCUAAUCUUUAAAAGAUAGUUGUUCGUGUUUUGUCUUAGCCAUGCGGUGCUUCUUGGUGUGAAUGAAAUUGGAGUGUAUUUGAGAGCAUUCACACAAAGAAGAGAAAUAGAUUGACACAAAAGUGGCUCAAUGAUCUUGUCUUCGUUCGGUACAACCUUCGCCUUCGAGCUAGAAAGGUGGAGGGUGUUUCACAUGAGGCCAUUGACUUGGAUGAAAUUGAUCCAUAUGGUAAUUGGACCGUGAAUGAAUAAAAUGAUGGUGAUGAUGUCCUCCUUAUCGAAGAAGAACUUGCAGAAAUAGAGAGAGGAGCAGCACAAGAAGCAGAAUGAGCAAGAUUGGAUGAAAUGGAGGAGGACGAAGAUGAGGACUUUGAUUUAGAAGAAGAAUCAUCUCACCAUUUAGAUACCUCAACACCUACUUCUACUACUACUAGCUCAAGGCCUGAAAAAUUGAGCUAUAUUAGGAGAAGUACAAAGAGGAAGAUGUAGUCCUCUUUAGUUUGUUCAUUGUUGUUUUUCACAUUUGGACAUAUCAUUAUAUGUAAUUUUGUAAACAUUUAUAAACUUAUGCUGCUAUUAUACAUUUUAGAGUUUGAAACUAUGAGUAUGAAUGAUGAAAUUUCAAAUAUUGAGUGUUUGGAGAUCAUAUGACGUGUAAUGUUUCAAUUAUGGCUCUUAUGUUCUCUAAAUGCAUUAAUUUCUUUAUGUUUUUUUGUAAAACUACGGUGUUUUUUUUUGCCG
Cryptomeria japonica (Japanese cedar) is the source of this 3126-nucleotide long non-coding RNA. RefSeq lists it as uncharacterized. NCBI's taxonomy places the organism in Eukaryota, Viridiplantae, Streptophyta, Pinopsida, Cupressales, Cupressaceae. The transcript has 3 exons. The record is from RefSeq and is a predicted model, not a curated record.